AAUGAACGUUGGCGGCGUGGAUUAGGCAUGCAAGUCGGACGAGAAUCUCCCGCAAGGGAGAGGACAGUGGCAAACGGGGUAGUAAGGCGUAGGUGACGUACCCUCCGGACCGGGAUAGUCAGGGGAAACCCUGGGUAAUACCGGAUGAUCUCUUAAGGCAUGAUCGCUUUGGGAGCAAAGGUGUGAUUCCACCGGGGGAGCGGCUUACGUAGUAUUAGCUAGUUGGUGAGGUAACGGCUCACCAAGGCGACGAUGCUUAGGGGAUGUGAGAGCAUGAUCCCCACCACUGGGACUGAGAUACUGCCCAGACACCUACGGGUGGCUGCAGUCGAGAAUCUUCGGCAAUGGGCGCAAGCCUGACCGAGCGACGCCGCGUGCGGGA
RNAcentral lists this ribosomal RNA (382 nucleotides) under uncultured bacterium. RNAcentral describes it as "bacterial SSU rRNA". It matches the Rfam family "Bacterial small subunit ribosomal RNA", at positions 29 to 408 of the family's 1533-position model. The record is from RNAcentral.